UACGUAGGGGGCAAGCGUUGUUCGGAUUCAUUGGGCGUAAAGGGUGCGUAGGCGGCGCGGUAAGUCGGGUGUGAAAUCUCGGAGCUUAACUCCGAAACUGCAUUUGAUACUGCGGUGCUUGAGGACUGGAGAGGAGACUGGAAUUCAUGGUGUAGCAGUGAAAUGCGUAGAGAUCAUGAGGAAGACCAGUGGCGAAGGCGGGUCUCUGGACAGUUCCUGACACUGAGACACGAAGGCCAGGGGAGCAAACGGG
RNAcentral lists this ribosomal RNA (253 nucleotides) under uncultured bacterium. Its description in RNAcentral is "partial 16S ribosomal RNA". It matches the Rfam family "Bacterial small subunit ribosomal RNA", at positions 524 to 776 of the family's 1533-position model. The record is from RNAcentral.